UCAAUUUGUUAAGGUGAGUGCGUGACCAUGAGCUUAUCUAAGCGAUUGGGUUGUGUGAUUUGUUUUGUGUGAUGAUAUGUAAGUGUUGUGAAUGUGUUUUGGGUGAAUUGUUCAAUGACUGGUUUGUUUGUAUUGUAUUCGUGAUUAUACCUUUGUAUUUGCUUGUGUGUAUAGUUCGUAGAUGGGAGUAUCGCCUCACUAAGUAUUUAUGAUAAUACUUACGCAUCUCAUUGUGUUGUUGAUGCAUGUAAAGAUAAAGUGUGAUCGUGGAAUCAUAACAAGGAAGAGAGGAUGAUCUAGGAACUCGUUUGUUUUAUUUUUGGUGUUUUUGGUUAUUGGAACCCGG
RNAcentral lists this small RNA (346 nucleotides) under Arabidopsis thaliana (thale cress). RNAcentral's name for it is "putative long intergenic non-coding RNA". Lineage: Eukaryota; Viridiplantae; Streptophyta; Magnoliopsida; Brassicales; Brassicaceae. The record is from RNAcentral.